Molecule: ribosomal RNA, 414 nt
Filed under: uncultured microorganism
Description: bacterial SSU rRNA
Rfam family: Archaeal small subunit ribosomal RNA
Source: RNAcentral
CAGCAGCCGCGGUAAUACCGGCGGCCCGAGUGGCGGCCACUAUUAUUGGGCUUAAAGCGUCCGUAGCCGGGUUGGUUAGUCUCCCGGGAAAUCUGGCCGCUUAACGGUCAGAAUUCCGGGAGAUACUGCCAGCCUAGGGACCGGGAGAGGCCGAGGGUAUUCCCGGAGUAGGGGUGAAAUCCUAUAAUCCCGGGAGGACCACCUGUGGCGAAGGCGCUCGGCUGGAACGGGUCCGACGGUGAGGGACGAAGGCCAGGGGAGCAAACCAGAUUAGAUACCCGGGUAGUCCUGGCUGUAAACGAUGCGGACUUUGUGUCGGACAAGCUAUGAGCUUGUCCGGUGCCGGAGGGAAACCGUUAAGUCCGCCGCCUGGGGAGUACGGCCGCAAGGCUGAAACUUAAAGGAAUUGGCGGG